CCUACGGGAGGCAGCAGUGAGGAAUAUUGGUCAAUGGACGAGAGUCUGAACCAGCCAAGUCGCGUGAAGGAUGACUGCCCUAUGGGUUGUAAACUUCUUUUAUAAAGGAAUAAAACGCGGCACGUGUGCCUUUUUGCAUGUACUUUAUGAAUAAGGAUCGGCUAAAUCCGGGCCAGCAGCCGCGGUAAUACGGAGGAUCCGAGCGUUAUCCGGAUUUAUUGGGUUUAAAGGGAGCGUAGAUGGGUUGUUAAGUAAGGUGUGAAAGUUUGCGGCUCAACCGUAAAAUUGCAAUUGAUACUGGCAGGCUAGAGUACAGUUGAGGUAGGCGGAAUUCGUGGUGUAGCGGUGAAAUGCUUAGAUAUCACGAAGAACCACGAUGGCGAAGGCAGCUUACUAAACUGUGACUGACAUUGAUGCUCGAAAGUGUGGGUAGCAAACAGGAUUAGAUACCCUUGUAGUC
RNAcentral lists this ribosomal RNA (460 nucleotides) under uncultured bacterium. RNAcentral describes it as "partial 16S ribosomal RNA". It matches the Rfam family "Bacterial small subunit ribosomal RNA", at positions 338 to 795 of the family's 1533-position model. The record is from RNAcentral.